RNAcentral lists this ribosomal RNA (497 nucleotides) under uncultured bacterium. RNAcentral's name for it is "partial 16S ribosomal RNA". It matches the Rfam family "Bacterial small subunit ribosomal RNA", at positions 28 to 507 of the family's 1533-position model. The record is from RNAcentral.
GAUGAACGCUGGCGGCGUGCCUAAUACAUGCAAGUCGAGCGAACGGACGAGAAGCUUGCUUCUCUGAUGUUAGCGGCGGACGGGUGAGUAACACGUGGAUAACCUACCUAUAAGACUGGGAUAACUUCGGGAAACCGUAGCUAAUACCGGAUAAUAUUUUGAACCGCAUGGUUCAAAAGUGAAAGACGGUCUUGCUGUCACUUAUAGAUGGAUCCGCGCUGCAUUAGCUAGUUGGUAAGGUAACGGCUUACCAAGGCGACGAUGCAUAGCCGACCUGAGAGGGUGAUCGGCCACACUGGAACUGAGACACGGUCCAGACUCCUACGGGAGGCAGCAGUAGGGAAUCUUCCGCAAUGGGCGAAAGCCUGACGGAGCAACGCCGCGUGAGUGAUGAAGGUCUUCGGAUCGUAAAACUCUGUUAUUAGGGAAGAACAAAUGUGUAAGUAACUGUGCACAUCUUGACGGUACCUAAUCAGAAAGCCACGGCUAACUACGUG